AGUGAACGCUGGCGGUAGGCCUAACACAUGCAAGUCGAACGGCAGCACAGUAAGAGCUUGCUCUUACGGGUGGCGAGUGGCGGACGGGUGAGGCAUACAUCGGAAUCUACUUUUUCGUGGGGGAUAACGUAGGGAAACUUACGCUAAUACCGCGUACGACCUACGGGUGAAAGCAGGGGAUCUUCGGACCUUGCGCGACUGAAUGAGCCGAUGUCGGAUUAGCUAGUUGGCGGGGUAAAGGCCCACCAAGGCGACGAUCCGUAGCUGGUCUGAGAGGAUGAUCAGCCACACUGGAACUGAGACACGGUCCAGACUCCUACGGGAGGCAGCAGUGGGGAAUAUUGGACAAUGGGCGCAAGCCUGAUCCAGCCAUACCGCGUGGGUGAAGAAGGCCUUCGGGUUGUAAAGCCCUUUUGUUGGGAAAGAAAAGCAGCAGGUUAAUACCCCGCUGUUCUGACGGUACCCAAAGAAUAAGCACCGGCUAACUUCGUG
Molecule: ribosomal RNA, 492 nt
Filed under: uncultured bacterium
Lineage: Bacteria
Description: partial 16S ribosomal RNA
Rfam family: Bacterial small subunit ribosomal RNA
Source: RNAcentral